Molecule: transfer RNA, 73 nt
Filed under: Ixodes scapularis (black-legged tick)
Lineage: Eukaryota; Metazoa; Arthropoda; Arachnida; Ixodida; Ixodidae
Rfam family: tRNA
About the family: Transfer RNA (tRNA) molecules are approximately 80 nucleotides in length.
Source: Rfam by way of RNAcentral
CCCCGCUUAGCUCAAUUUGUAGAGCACUCCACUGCAAAUGGUGAGCUCCCGGGUUCGAUACCCGGACUAGGCG